AUUGAACGCUGGCGGCAUGCCUUACACAUGCAAGUCGAACGGCAGCACGGGUGCUCGCACCUGGUGGCGAGUGGCGAACGGGUGAGUAAUAUAUCGGAACGUACCUUAUUGUGGGGGAUAACGCAGCGAAAGCUGUGCUAAUACCGCAUAUCCCUAAGGGGGAAAGCGGGGGACCGUAAGGCCUCGCGCAAUUAGAGCGGCCGAUACCUGAUUAGCUAGUUGGUGAGGUAAAGGCUCACCAAGGCAACGAUCAGUAGCUGGUCUGAGAGGACGAUCAGCCACACUGGGACUGAGACACGGCCCAGACUCCUACGGGAGGCAGCAGUGGGGAAUUUUGGACAAUGGGGGCAACCCUGAUCCAGCAAUGCCGCGUGAGUGAAGAAGGCCUUCGGGUUGUAAAGCUCUUUUGUCAGGGAAGAAACAGCAGCUCUAACACAGUUUGCGAAUGACGGUACCUGAAGAAUAAGCACCGGCUAACUACGUGCCAGCCGCCGCGGUAA
Molecule: ribosomal RNA, 500 nt
Filed under: uncultured bacterium
Lineage: Bacteria
Description: partial 16S ribosomal RNA
Rfam family: Bacterial small subunit ribosomal RNA
Source: RNAcentral